UCCAGACUCCUACGGGAGGCAGCAGUGAGGAAUAUUGGUCAAUGGGCUUACGCCUGAACCAGCCAAGUCGCGUGAGGGAAGACUGCCCUAUGGGUUGUAAACCUCUUUUGUCGGGGAGCAAAAGACGCCACGCGUGGCGUUCCGAGAGUACCCGAAGAAAAAGCAUCGGCUAACUCCGUGCCAGCAGCCGCGGUAAUACGGAGGAUGCGAGCGUUAUCCGGAUUUAUUGGGUUUAAAGGGUGCGCAGGCGGAGGUGCAAGUCAGCGGUCAAAUUGCGGGGCUCAACCCCGUACUGCCGUUGAAACUGCAUCCCUUGAGUGCGCGAGAAGUAUGCGGAAUGCGUGGUGUAGCGGUGAAAUGCAUAGAUAUCACGCAGAACUCCGAUUGCGAAGGCAGCAUACCGGCGCGCAACUGACGCUCAUGCACGAAAGCGUGGGUAUCGAACAGGAUUAGAUACCCGUGUA
RNAcentral lists this ribosomal RNA (464 nucleotides) under uncultured bacterium. RNAcentral's name for it is "bacterial SSU rRNA". It matches the Rfam family "Bacterial small subunit ribosomal RNA", at positions 330 to 792 of the family's 1533-position model. The record is from RNAcentral.